Molecule: ribosomal RNA, 254 nt
Filed under: uncultured bacterium
Lineage: Bacteria
Description: partial 16S ribosomal RNA
Rfam family: Bacterial small subunit ribosomal RNA
Source: RNAcentral
UACAGAGGUCUCAAGCGUUGUUCGGAAUCACUGGGCGUAAAGCGCACGUAGGCGGAUGUGUCAGUCAGGGGUGAAAUCCUGGAGCUCAACUCCAGAACUGCCUCCGAUACUGAGAGUCUUCGAGUCCGGGAGAGGUGAGUGGAACUGCGAGUGUAGAGGUGAAAUUCGUAGAUAUUCGGAAGAACACCAGUGGCGAAGGCGGCUCACUGGCCCGGUACUGACGCUGAGGCGCGAAAGCGUGGGGAGCAAACAGG